AGGUAGUGACAAGAAAUAACAAUACAGGGCAUAUGUCUUGUAAUUGGAAUGAUGCCGACUUAAACCCUCGGCAGAGUACCAAUUGGAGGGCAAGUCUGGUGCCAGCAGCCGCGGUAAUUCCAGCUCCAAUAGCGUAUAUUAAACUUGUUGCAGUUAAAAAGCUCGUAGUUGAAUUUGAGCUUGCGCGAUUCCGUUAUUGGAGUAUUGCGCUUGCUUUUUUGUUACUUUGAGAAAAUUAGAGUGUUUCAAGCAGACUUUUGUCUUGGAUACUUCAGCAUGGAAUAAUAGAGUAGGACCUUGGUUCUAUUUUGUUGGUUUUG
Molecule: ribosomal RNA, 320 nt
Filed under: Babesia motasi
Lineage: Eukaryota; Apicomplexa; Aconoidasida; Piroplasmida; Babesiidae
Description: SSU rRNA
Rfam family: Eukaryotic small subunit ribosomal RNA
Source: RNAcentral